This 791-nucleotide ribosomal RNA is filed under the name uncultured bacterium. RNAcentral describes it as "bacterial SSU rRNA". It matches the Rfam family "Bacterial small subunit ribosomal RNA", at positions 8 to 796 of the family's 1533-position model. The record is from RNAcentral.
AGAGUUUGAUCAUGGCUCAGAUUGAACGCUGGCGGCAUGCUUUACACAUGCAAGUCGAACGGCAGCAUGGGCUUCGGCCUGAUGGCGAGUGGCGAACGGGUGAGUAAUGCAUCGGAACGUGCCCAGUCGUGGGGGACAACUAGUCGAAAGAUUAGCUAAUACCGCAUACGACCUGAGGGUGAAAGUGGGGGAUCUUCGGACCUCACGCGAUUGGAGCGGCCGAUGUCAGAUUAGCUAGUUGGUGGGGUAAGAGCCUACCAAGGCGACGAUCUGUAGCGGGUCUGAGAGGAUGAUCCGCCACACUGGGACUGAGACACGGCCCAGACUCCUACGGGAGGCAGCAGUGGGGAAUUUUGGACAAUGGGGGCAACCCUGAUCCAGCCAUGCCGCGUGCGGGAAGAAGGCCUUCGGGUUGUAAACCGCUUUCGGACAGAAAGAAAUCGCACAGGUUAAUACCUUGUGUGGAUGACGGUACUGUAAGAAGAAGCACCGGCUAACUACGUGCCAGCAGCCGCGGUAAUACGUAGGGUGCGAGCGUUAAUCGGAAUUACUGGGCGUAAAGCGUGCGCAGGCGGAUUGUUAAGCAAGAUGUGAAAUCCCCGGGCUUAACCUGGGAAUGGCAUUUUGAACUGGCAGUCUAGAGUGCGUCAGAGGGGGGUGGAAUUCCACGUAGCAGUGAAAUGCGUAGAGAUGUGGAGGAACACCGAUGGCGAAGGCAGCCCCCUGGGAUGACACUGACGCUCAUGCACGAAAGCGUGGGGAGCAAACAGGAUUAGAUACCCUAGUAGUCC